AGGCUAGCGUCUGUUCUGACAGUGGAGCUCUCCCAACACCGAAACAGACUGAGAAAAAAAAAAAAAAAAUCAUACCACUACGCAAAUCCUUCCAAUGGAGGAGGGCCAGGACGUCGAAGCUUUUUCGGCAAAUGAAAAGAACGUCUGCAAGCUAGCAACCUAGCCCAACUAAAGGGAGAGGAAACAAAAGUUAUUCUUGUGCAGUGAACUUGUGGACCCUUCUUUCUCUUUCCAGUUCCAGCCCCUGCUCUAUGGCCUUAAGAAAAAUGCAGUGUUGCCCGUUACCCUGGCCCCGAAAGACCCAACAUCGUCGGCGGUAACUGCUCUGCCACCUGUCUCACCUGGCCCCGGUAAAAUGCCUAAUCCUGUCCAUCUUCAGCAGCGAUGGCCUCAUCUGAUUCUGAACCUGAGCCAGAGCCUACCACAUACAAAAAGGCCAAAAUAUACACUAC
Perca fluviatilis (European perch) is the source of this 452-nucleotide long non-coding RNA. RefSeq lists it as uncharacterized. Lineage: Eukaryota; Metazoa; Chordata; Actinopteri; Perciformes; Percidae. The transcript is spliced from 3 exons. The record is from RefSeq and is a predicted model, not a curated record.